GAUGAACGCUGGCGGCGUGCCUAAUACAUGCAAGUCGAGCGAACAGACGAGGAGCUUGCUCCUCUGACGUUAGCGGCGGACGCGUGAGUAACACGUCGAUAACCUACCUAUAAGACUGCGAUAACUUCGAGAAACCGGAGCUAAUACCUGAUAAUAUAUCGAACCGCAUGGUUCAAUAGUGAAAGACGCUUUUCCUGUCACUUAUCGAUGGAUCCGCGCCGCAUUAGCUAGUUGGUAAGGUAACGGCUUACCAAGGCAACGAUGCGUAGCCGACCUGAGAGGGUGAUCGGCCACACUGGAACUGAGACACGGUCCAGACUCCUACGGGAGGCAGCAGUAGGGAAUCUUCCGCAAUGGGCGAAAGCUUGACGGAGCAACGCCGCGUGAGUGAGGAAGGUCUUCGGAUCGUAAAACUCUGUUAUUAGGGAAGAACAAAUGUGUAAGUAACUAUGCACGUCUUGACGGUACCUAAUCAGAAAGCCACGGCUAACUACGUG
Molecule: ribosomal RNA, 497 nt
Filed under: uncultured bacterium
Lineage: Bacteria
Description: partial 16S ribosomal RNA
Rfam family: Bacterial small subunit ribosomal RNA
Source: RNAcentral